Molecule: long non-coding RNA, 1415 nt
Filed under: Rattus norvegicus (Norway rat)
Lineage: Eukaryota; Metazoa; Chordata; Mammalia; Rodentia; Muridae
Description: long non-coding RNA NONRATT016861
Source: RNAcentral
UGAGGUAUUCUGGUGCUAGAAGCCUCAGGGGUGGUGUUCUAGCACCUUCAUGUGUCUUUGACUUUGGACAUGUUGGCAGGGUAUUUUAAAAGCUAUAACUACUGUAGUUUUCCAGUGUUCAUUGCUGCUUUAGCAAACCAUGCUGUCUUACUGGUGGUACUUUCUUCUGGCCACUGCACUGUAGAUAAUUCAUUGGAAACAAGAUUUAUGCACCACACAAAAGGUUAAAUGCUGUCACCAUGUUGGAGUGGUUUCUUUUCUCUUUUUUUUCCCCCCACCUCCAGGUUUAUCUUUCCUCUAAUAACCUGCAUGUAGCAUUAAACACACACACACACACACACACACACACACACACACACACACACACACACACAGCCCUUCUUAUCACACUAAUGGUUUUCACUCUGAGUUUUCACCUUCUAGCCACGUCUGCCCUUCAGCUUGCAGACGAGAUUGAGAAAUCCUUGGAAAAUUUGGUUCUGAUUUUCUUUUUCUUUUUGGUUUAUUUAUUUGAAACCCAGACACCCUUGGAAACUGAAGUGCGUUUGUGUGACUUUCUGUUUGUUUCCGAGAAGGGCCAAUGACAGUCUGAGUGAUCCCCAUGCCCUGUGUCUAAUCCCUCUAGUGAUUGAAGCUGUGUAGCAUUUUAACAUAUAUAUAUAAAUAUAUUCACAAAUAUAUUCAUAUAAACAGUAUACGUUUUGAACCAGUUAUUUGUUAAAGAAAGUUUAUUCAAUGAAGAUGAAAUUAAAAAAGAAAGAAAGAAAACAGUCUACCCCAGAGAUUGAAAAUUUUCCAGUCCUAGCUGGUUUUUUCCUGUGUGCAGAACUGACUCAUUGCUUGGAAUGUCAGACACAAACAUGACAAAUAACAGCACUUCAUCUUUUUAAGUAACAUUGCCAAGAGAAGAAUUUUCCUGGGAGAGUGCUUUCCCAUCAGCCAAAUCUCCUGAGCAGUCCUCAGCACUAGCACUUUCUGGGGGUUGAGUAGAAACAAAGUAUUCUUUGGCAUCCAAACUGAGAGAGAGAGAGAGAGAGAGAGAGGCGGGUGGCAGCCCUUUGUGAGAUACAUGGUGGCCAUCUUGUCAGACCUUCACCCGGAGCUCAUGAAAAGCUUUUCUGUUGUGUUAUUUGCAGUGCAGAUGAUGUCUGUGUGACAACAUAAUGGUUCUUCACUUUUUUUCCUUCAAUUUUGAUUUUUUUUUUUGCUGUGUUAUCAAAAACUUGAAUACUGUGAGAAGAAGUGAAUUUUCAGUUGAUGAAUCAGCAUCUUGUUCCCAUGGUGAUAACACUAACUGAAUAUAUCUAUGAGGGCAUGUAUUAGUUAUUGGAAAACCAUACAACACUAACAGUACAUAGCUGCAAUGUUGUACAAUGGCUGAUUUAACUAAAUAAAAUGUAUAAGUGUUAAGUGUG